AUUGAACGCUGGCGGCAGGCCUAACACAUGCAAGUCGAACGGUAACAGGAAGAAGCUUGCUUCUUUGCUGACGAGUGGCGGACGGGUGAGUAAUGUCUGGGAAACUGCCUGAUGGAGGGGGAUAACUACUGGAAACGGUAGCUAAUACCGCAUAACGUCGCAAGACCAAAGAGGGGGACCUUCGGGCCUCUUGCCUUCGACUGUGCCCAGAUGGGAUUAGCUAGUAGGUGGGGUAACGGCUCACCUAGGCGACGAUCCCUAGCUGGUCUGAGAGGAUGACCAGCCACACUGGAACUGAGACACGGUCCAGACUCCUACGGGAGGCAGCAGUGGGGAAUAUUGCACAAUGGGCGCAAGCCUGAUGCAGCCAUGCCGCGUGUAUGAAGAAGGCCUUCGGGUUGUAAAGUACUUUCAGCGGGGAGGAAGGGAGUAAAGUUAAUACCUUUGCUCAUUGACGUUACCCGCAGAAGAAGCACCGGCUAACUCCGUG
Molecule: ribosomal RNA, 490 nt
Filed under: uncultured bacterium
Lineage: Bacteria
Description: partial 16S ribosomal RNA
Rfam family: Bacterial small subunit ribosomal RNA
Source: RNAcentral